CCGCCUCAGGCGCGGGGGUGGGGGCCUUCGGGUAGGACGCCCGGCUCGGCGUCUCUGCUGAGAGGAGCUCGGUCUCCGUCUCCUUAGGACUCGCUGGGGUUUCGGCUUCAGGACAAAGUGGCGCUGCGUCCACGCUGACUAGGGAACUAGGUCUCCUGAGGACCCAGGUGAUGCCUGAGGAAAAGGUGAAGAGACGGUCGUCCACAACACGGAGGACAGCGGCUCCUAAUAUAACCUUCCCACAGUGCCUCUAAAUGACGUGUGGACUUUGGGUGAACUGGAUCUGGGAUUCCCAGGACCCUCGGGUGUGCAUCAUGUUCCCUCCAAGAUCA
Long non-coding RNA from Eubalaena glacialis (North Atlantic right whale), 332 nucleotides. RefSeq lists it as uncharacterized. The transcript has 3 exons. The record is from RefSeq and is a predicted model, not a curated record. Lineage: Eukaryota; Metazoa; Chordata; Mammalia; Artiodactyla; Balaenidae.